Vigna angularis (adzuki bean) is the source of this 1242-nucleotide long non-coding RNA. RefSeq lists it as uncharacterized. The transcript is spliced from 3 exons. Lineage: Eukaryota; Viridiplantae; Streptophyta; Magnoliopsida; Fabales; Fabaceae. The record is from RefSeq and is a predicted model, not a curated record.
CCUCGAGUUUCCAAAAAUAAAAAAAUGAGAGAUGGUUUGGCCCAGAUAAGGAGGCUUGUUACGAGUUUCAUAGAACAAAUAGUCAUCACACAGAGAAAUGCUUUGCCCUUAUAUAUCACAUAGAGCAGUUAAUUCGAAAAGGGUACCAUGUAUCGGAAGAGAGAACCGACAUGUGAAGAAACUGAAAAGAAUGAGGGAUAUUCGCACGAGAAGUAGACCAAAAAGAAGAGUACGAAAAUCCCCAGCGGGAGACCUCAAGACCAUUGCAGGAGGCUUUUCAAGACAAUAUGUGAUGAAAAUCAACCUAAGGGGUUACAAUGAGUAAUUGGAUUACCAUUUCCGACACCACCUCGAAACAUCUCCGCUGUGAUCUUGAAGUCCUUCACCUCGGUUACCGUGAAACUCAGCCCCUGCCGAUUUAAAGUUGUUGAUGAGAUCAACCAAGGGAUGCACCCAAUAAAUGAAAGGAAGAUGUUCCAGCAAUUAGUGAGAGCAGCAAGCAAGCCAAAUCCAUCACCCAUAGUUACAUGUACAGGGAAAACGUAGAUACAAGAAAACACAACGUUGAUUUGAGAAAAAUACAACACAAAAUACACAAUUCCUGGGGUACAGCAAAAGGUUGUGAUUUGGGAGGGAACAACAUCAAUGUAAAAACUUCCGUAUAACAUUGAAUGAAGAUUCAAUUGAGAAACAUAGUUUCUAGACUCUGCGUUGCUCACACGUGGAUUGCACCCUAAGUUGUUUCAUGUAACUAUAUUACUGAAACCCAUCAUGCCAAUAAGCAUAAAGCUGUAUCAGCUAUACACAAAUACGUUAAUCCAUCUGGGUUGGAUUCGACCACUUUCCAUGUUGCCUGCCAAAGGUUUGAAGAAAUGUCUGACCUAACUGUUGCUUCAGCAACGAUCAUAAUUCAAGGUUUCGUUAAGCGGCAUUGCUAUAAAGAUGCUAUCCAUAAUAAACGGGUCAUAAUAAAGAAGCUGUGAAUUCACCGAUACCUCCGCUCCGUCGCUGAUCAGAACUUAUCGUGUCUGGCAAGGCAGUAACGUAAGUAACAUGUAACUUUCUCCGAUCACUUAUAUGAUUCAUUUUUAGAUCAUCUUUCACCUCUCUGAGUUUGAUUCCGAGUUCUCUAUGUCAAUCAACACCGAGUUUAUUCGGGAGCAUGAGGAUACCAAAAAGACUCUAGAGUUUCUUGUUACGCUGUAGUGAAAUGGAUUGAAAUAUUUUCAACUCUGUGUUGUU